CGCACCUCUGCUUCGGCUUUGCUGAGCAGGUCGUGGGCGCGCCCUUCGUGAGAUGGGCGCCCCUAACGUAGCACGCUUGCGGGCUCCCACACAGAUGUCAACGUAGUAAACUUAAACGCUCGAUGCAAUCUUGUGGAGGCUCUGCCUGAACAAACCUUCUUGA
RNAcentral lists this unclassified non-coding RNA (163 nucleotides) under uncultured fungus. Its description in RNAcentral is "sequence contains ITS2". The record is from RNAcentral. Lineage: Eukaryota; Fungi.